Molecule: long non-coding RNA, 604 nt
Organism: Lagenorhynchus albirostris (white-beaked dolphin)
Lineage: Eukaryota; Metazoa; Chordata; Mammalia; Artiodactyla; Delphinidae
Exons: 2
Source: RefSeq, a predicted model, not a curated record
AUACUUUUAAAUGACAUCUUUUUGUAUGAAUAUUGUGACCCCUGUUUUCAUCUUGCUUGCCUUCCCCUAACAUCUCUGUCUGCUUCCGCUGUCCCUUCACUCAUGGAUUCUGUCCACCUUUAAAGGCUAGCCUUGUACAUCAAUUUGUAACAAUUUAACAUGCAGAUAUCAUCAUAAAUCCUUACCAGAGCAAGGAGGGGAAUGAGUGAGAAAGAAAGAAGGAAAGAAAGAAAAUGAAUCGAUCACUAAAUAAAGAGAAAUUUGGAGAUUUAACCAUAAGGCCAGGCAAUGAACACAAUAAGGAAGAUGUUCUGAACUGCUAACAUGGUGACCCGACCACGGAGUUGGGAACACACUGCUGCAUCUGAAGGUUCAGUGUAUUUUGUUCCCCAGCAUGAGUUUCGGGAAGAAGCUGGACGCCUGUUCACACCCGCAGCCAACCUCGCUGGCCCCAGGGCAUCGCUGGAUGUGGGCAGGAUACUCGACGAUGAGUUCCACAGACGCAUUCCUGUGGUCUGCCGUUGUUUUUAGUGAUGUAGUCACUGCUUUCAAUGUCUAAUUACAGGAUUUUGUUUAUUUUUAAAAACAGUGUAAUCUUGAUGUA